UGAUGUAUAGCUCUGUUGGUAGCGCAUGAGACUCUUAAUCUCAGGAUAGUGAGUUCCAACCUCAUACUGGGUGAA
This is a non-coding RNA of Podarcis lilfordi (Lilford's wall lizard), 75 nucleotides long. The record is from the annotation of a GenBank genome assembly. Lineage: Eukaryota; Metazoa; Chordata; Lepidosauria; Squamata; Lacertidae.